Molecule: RNA transcript, 3256 nt
Organism: Sciurus carolinensis (gray squirrel)
Lineage: Eukaryota; Metazoa; Chordata; Mammalia; Rodentia; Sciuridae
Gene: Senp2
Gene name: SUMO specific peptidase 2
Exons: 18
Source: RefSeq, a predicted model, not a curated record
CGUCAAGAGUCGUAGCGGGUGGGGGCCUCCCUUAGCCCGGAGAACGUUGUAUCUAUGGGCCCACGGAUCGCGUCACAAGCCAGCGACUGAUCCUUGGUGGUGGUGGCCAAGGCGGCAGCGGCGGCGACAGCUCUGGGGUUUGCGUCUCGGGGUGUGUCGGCCGCCGCUGCUGCUCGGGCCUGGUAUGUACAGAUGGCUGGUUAGGAUUCUCGGCACCAUUUUCCGUUUCUGCGACCGGUCGGUGCCCCCUGCCCGGGCCCUCCUGAAGAGGCGGCGCUCGAACAGCACUCUGUUUUCUACAGUGGACACUGAUGAAAUACCCGCUAAAAGACCAAGAUUAGAUUGCUUUAUUCACCAAGUGAAAAACAGUCUCUACAAUGCUGCCAGCUUAUUUGGAUUCCCAUUCCAGCUGACCACAAAGCCCAUGGUAACUUCUGCUUGUAAUGGAACACGGAAUGUGGCCCCUUCAGAAGAGGUAUUUUCGAACUCUUCAUCUUGUGAACUGACAGGUUCUGGAUCCUGGAACAACAUGCUGAAACUGGGUAAUAAAUCUCCUAAUGGAAUAAGUGACUAUCCUAAGAUCAGAGUGACAGUAACCCGAGAUCAACCACGUAGAGUCCUGCCUUCCUUUGGUUUUACUCUAAACUCAGAAGGCUAUAAUAGAAGACCAGGUGGCCGUCGCCAUAGCAAAAGCAAUCCAGAGAGUUCCUUAACGUGGAAACCUCAGGAACAGGCUGUAACAGAGAUGAUUUCUGAAGAGGGUGGCAAGGGUCUGAGGCGUCCCCAUUGUACUGUGGAGGAGGGUGUUCAAAAAGAGGAAAGAGAGAAGUACCGAAGGUUAUUGGAGCGACUUAAAGAAGGUGGUCAUGGAAACUCUGUCCCACCUGUGACUUCACAUCAUCACAGCUCUCAAAGAAGUCAUAUAGACACAUUAAAGACCAAAGCCUGGGGGGAAGAGCAGAAUCACGGAGUCAGAGCAACUCAGUUUGUUCCAAAACAAUAUAGAGUUGCUGAAACAAGGGGACCUCUAUGUCCAAUGAGAAGUGAAAAGAGGUGUUCCAAAGGGAAAAUUUCUGAUACAGAGAAGAUGGUAGGAAUCAGACUUGAAAAUGAAGGUCGGAGGGGACACCGGCUGGAGCCUGAUCUAUCUGAAGAAGUGUCAGCUCGACUCCGCCUGGGCAGUGGAAGCAAUGGAUUACUCAGGAGGAAAAUGUCAAUACUUGAGGCAAAGGAAAAGAAUUUCUCAGGCAAAGAAAGGGAUAGAAGAACAGAUGAUCUCCUUGAACUUACAGAGGACAUGGAAAAGGAAAUCAGUAAUGCCCUAGGCCACGGCCCACAGGAUGAGAUCCUAAGUAGCGCUUUCAAAUUGCGGAUUACUCGAGGAGAUAUCCAGACCUUAAAGAACUAUCACUGGCUGAAUGAUGAGGUCAUUAAUUUUUACAUGAAUCUUCUAGUGGAAAGAAAUAAAAAGCAAGGCUAUCCGGCACUUCAUGUAUUCAGUACUUUCUUUUAUCCUAAAUUAAAGUCUGGGGGUUACCAAGCAGUGAAAAGAUGGACCAAAGGGGUAAAUCUCUUUGAACAAGAACUUGUUCUGGUGCCUAUUCAUCGGAAGGUACAUUGGAGCCUUGUGGUGAUGGACCUAAGAAAAAAGUGUCUUAAAUACCUGGAUUCUAUGGGACAAAAGGGCCACAGGAUCUGUGAGAUUCUCCUUCAGUAUUUACAGGAUGAAAGUAAGACCAAAAGAAAUAUUGAUCUAAAUCUUUUAGAGUGGACCCACUACAGCAUGAAGCCACAUGGGUCCAAAGCAGUAGGCCUGUUUUCCUGGCUAGGAUCAGAAGAUAAACUGCAGUUUCCAAGUAUAGGAGAUUCCUCAACAGUUGAAUGGGAGUGAUUGUGGAAUGUUUACUUGUAAAUAUGCAGAUUAUAUUUCUAGGGACAAACCUAUCACAUUUACUCAGCACCAGAUGCCUCUCUUCCGGAAGAAGAUGGUGUGGGAAAUCCUUCAUCAGCAGUUGCUGUGAGAACGCCCCCGCCUGCUCCCUCUCGCUGCUGGUGGUUCUUUCACGGACGUAUCCAUAUACCUCAUGCAUUGUGGGUUAAAAAGUCCCUGCAUCAUUUCUGUUCUCUCACAGGUACUGAGCUGUCAAAAGUGCAUGGAGGCCCCUUUCUGCACUACAGUCCUGACUUGGGGUGUGGAGGGGCUGCUUGCAACCCUGUCUGUAAGGCUGUGCCUGCUCAGAGCCCUUGACUGUUCAACCCACACAAGAACAAAUGCUAAUUAUUAUGUUUUUUGUUUUUAAGAGUUCUUUCCCUAUGAAUGUGGGAAAUGCAGGAUUUAUUCUAUGAAUUGUUUUUUUUCCGUGUUUGUUCACGUGUAUUCAUUUGCUCACUCAUUUGCAAACCUUGGGUGGUGGCCAUUUUCCACUGCUCUUUUACAGUUAACUCUAAAUUACUUGUUUGAACUAUUUAUUUCUGAAAGGAAUGUUAAUCAAACUGCCACUCCCUGCUGAAGGUCAGGAGGGACCUCAGUGGGGAGAGGAAGGAAGUGUUAAUUAACUUUUCUAAUGCUGGAGCAGUAACUGCCAACUUGAAGUAAGGGGUCUCCUCUUUUUUGAGGCUGGAAAAUGCCAGGAGAAACAAAAAUGCUGUGUUGUCGGGGGCCGAUUGCCUUUCAGAAGAAGUCUGACACUCCAGCAUUGGCACAGUGUUGUGGAAAAGCAGCAGUGUGGCCAAGGAGCUCUGGCCAUCCAUGUGUCUUCAGAAGAGUAUCAUGGUCAUCGUAAAGACACUUCCCUUUCUGGAAUUGAGGUGACUUGGCUGACUCCUGAAACUGGAUUCAAAGUAACCAUAGACCCUAAAUCUUCAUUUUCACCCUAGAUGUGAUUGAAUAUAAACCUCAGUAAGGGCUGGCCAGAGCUGUCCAUUUCACAGGAUAGUAUUCAGUUUAAAGCUGUUUUUCCUCAGAAGUUUUUUUUCUUUUUAUUAAGCUCAAUUCAGUUUUGUACUCAUUAAGAUUAAUAUCCCCCCACUCCACCCCUCUUCAAAUCUGUGGAAGAAGACUUAGCACUUGGCUCUGAGGUUAUAUAAUAAUCUAUUUUGCAUAUGAAAGUUUGUAUUUAACUUUUUUGUUCAUUAAAAAUCUUACAGAUGUGGUUAUGCAUUUUUAAUUUCAGAAAGUUUAGAGUUGGUCAGAACAUAUUUUGCAAGAUCUAGUGCCUAGUGUUGCUUUUAUGAUGUAAUAAAAGGUUGUCUGGCA